GGGCUUGAUAUCCUAAGAACCUUUUAGAGAUAAGAGGGUGCUAGCUUGCUAGAACUUAGAGACAGGUGCUGCACGGCUGUCGUCAGCUCGUGUCGUGAGAUGUUGGGUUAAGUCCCGCAACGAGCGCAACCCACGUAUUUAGUUGCUAACGGUUCGGCCGAGCACUCUAAAUAGACUGCCUUCGUAAGGAGGAGGAAGGUGUGGACGAUGUCAAGUCAUCAUGGCCCUUAUGCCCAGGGCGACACACGUGCUACAAUGGCAUAUACAAUGAGACGCAAUACCGCGAGGUGGAGCAAAUCUAUAAAAUAUGUCCCAGUUCGGAUUGUUCUCUGCAACUCGAGAGCAUGAAGCCGGAAUCGCUAGUAAUCGUAGAUCAGCCAUGCUACGGUGAAUACGUUCCCGGGUCUUGUACUCACCGCCCGUCACACCAUGGGAGUUGAUUUCACUCGAAGCCGGAAUACUAAACUAGUUACCGUCCACAGUGGAAUCAGCGACUGGGGUGAAGUCGUAACAAGGUAACCGUAGGAGAACCUGCGGUUGGAUCACCUCCUUUCUAG
This 557-nucleotide ribosomal RNA is filed under the name Campylobacter coli. RNAcentral describes it as "bacterial SSU rRNA". It matches the Rfam family "Bacterial small subunit ribosomal RNA", at positions 977 to 1533 of the family's 1533-position model. Lineage: Bacteria; Pseudomonadati; Campylobacterota; Epsilonproteobacteria; Campylobacterales; Campylobacteraceae. The record is from RNAcentral.